Molecule: ribosomal RNA, 373 nt
Filed under: uncultured organism
Description: bacterial SSU rRNA
Rfam family: Bacterial small subunit ribosomal RNA
Source: RNAcentral
CGGGGGGAGCAAGCGUUGUUCGGAUUUACUGAGCGUAAAGGGCGCGUAGGCGGUCGUGACAAGUCACUUGUGAAAUCUCCGGGCUUAACUCGGAACGGUCAAGUGAUACUGUCGGACUAGAGUACAGAAGGGGCAACUGGAAUUCUCGGUGUAGCGGUGAAAUGCGUAGAUAUCGAGAGGAACACCUGCGGCGAAGGCGGGUUGCUGGGCUGAUACUGACGCUGAGGCGCGAAAGCCAGGGGAGCGAACGGGAUUAGAUACCCCGGUAGUCCUGGCCUUAAACGAUGAAUGCUUGGUGUCUCGGGUUAUAAAGUCCCGGGUGCCGUCGCUAACGCUUUUAGCAUUCCGCCUGGGGAGUACGGUCGCAAGACUG